This 345-nucleotide unclassified non-coding RNA is filed under the name soil metagenome. Its description in RNAcentral is "partial contains 5.8S ribosomal RNA, internal transcribed spacer 2, and large subunit ribosomal RNA". The stretch from base 1 to 119 matches the Rfam family "5.8S ribosomal RNA", at positions 35 to 154 of the family's 154-position model. The record is from RNAcentral.
GAUGAAGAACGCAGCGAAAUGCGAUACGUAAUGUGAAUUGCAAAUUCAGUGAAUCAUCGAGUCUUUGAACGCACAUUGCGCCCCCUGGUAUUCCGGGGGGCAUGCCUGUCCGAGCGUCAUUGCUGCCCUCAAGCACGGCUUGUGUGUUGGGCCCCGUCCUCCGAUCCCGGGGGACGGGCCCGAAAGGCAGCGGCGGCACCGCGUCCGGUCCUCGAGCGUAUGGAGCUUUGUCACCCGCUCUGUAGGCCCGGCCGGCGCUUGCCGAUCAACCCAAAUUUUUAUCCAGGUUGACCUCGGAUCAGGUAGGGAUACCCGCUGAACUUAAGCAUAUCAAUAAGCGGAGGA